CGAACUGGUGAGUAACACGUGGGCAACCUGCCCGGACGCAGGGGAUAACACUUGGAAACAGGUGCUAAUACCGUAUAACAACUGAAACCGCAUGGUUUCAGUUUGAAAGAUGGUUUCGGCUAUCACUUCUGGAUGGACCCGCGGCGUAUUAGCUAGUUGGUGGAGUAAUGGUUCACCAAGGCAAUGAUACGUAGCCGACCUGAGAGGGUAAUCGGCCACAUUGGGACUGAGACACGGCCCAAACUCCUACGGGAGGCAGCAGUAGGGAAUCUUCCACAAUGGACGAAAGUCUGAUGGAGCAACGCCGCGUGAGUGAAGAAGGGUUUCGGCUCGUAAAACUCUGUUGUUGAAGAAGAACACAUCUGAGAGUAACUGUUCAGGUGUUGACGGUAUUUAACCAGAAAGCCACGGCUAACUACGUGCCAGCAGCCGCGGUAAUACGUAGGUGGCAAGCGUUGUCCGGAUUUAUUGGGCGUAAAGCGAGCGCAGGCGGUUUCUUAAGUCUGAUGUGAAAGCCUUCGGCUUAACCGGAGAAGUGCAUCGGAAACUGGGAGACUUGAGUGCAGAAGAGGACAGUGGAACUCCAUGUGUAGCGGUGAAAUGCGUAGAUAUAUGGAAGAACACCAGUGGCGAAGGCGGCUGUCUGGUCUGUAACUGACGCUGAGGCUCGAAAGCAUGGGUAGCGAACAGGAUUAGAUACCCCUGGUAGUCC
This 712-nucleotide ribosomal RNA is filed under the name uncultured bacterium. RNAcentral describes it as "bacterial SSU rRNA". It matches the Rfam family "Bacterial small subunit ribosomal RNA", at positions 99 to 796 of the family's 1533-position model. The record is from RNAcentral.